GACCUCUACAGUUGCCAUAGCCAAACGUCACUUUGGAGCGAAAGUUUUCAAACGGCUCCUUUGAGGAAGACAUGAGGGCCGAAAUGUUGUCGUUUCCGCAUAACAGUGUACAAUUUAGCCAGCUGUUUUGAAAUAGAGCGUUUUGUGGACUGUUCACAGUCCCUGGUCUAAAGAUGGAAGGCUUGGAAAUGUCCGCUAUGAUACCUGCACUGCAGGAGCUAGCGAGUGCCACCGCAGAGGAAUACAACAAGGUGGUUCAGAAGCCUCGUCAGAUUCUCUGUCAGUUCAUUGACCGAAUACUGACAGACGUAGAUGUCGUUGCGUUGGAGCUGUCUAAGAGGUCCAGUUCAGAGCCAGCGUGUGUGAUGCUGUUGGACUUUGUUCAGCACAUUAUAAAGUCUUCCUCUCUGAUGUUUGUCAACCCUGCCUGUCAGCUGGCCCACUUCACAGACACACAGCAGAGCAGCACCGAGUUCAGUAGGUGGGUUGUCGGCAGGUUGCUGCGAGUCGCCGCAUCGCCAAGCUGUGACGUCAUCCAUGGGCGUGUCUCGGCCGUGCUCUGCUCCCUACUGCACGCACUCAGACCGCGAGCACCAAUCACCUUCAACGUCAUCGCCAAAGAGAUGCUUGGAUUGGCCCAGGACCUCAGCAAUCUGCUCUACACACACACACACUCACACACCCCAGGAACACAUAAACACUCUACAAACACACACACCUUGUGGCCGGUAACCCUGCAGUCUUUCUCUGUCUCUCUCACCCCUUAUCUCACCCCCUCACCCCUCCUCCUCCCCUCGCCUGCCGCCUUGGAAACCCUGGUUGCGGUGACAGUGAACGUUCUAACUGACGCCCUCAGGGGAUUGGCCAGCCGCAGGGAGAUGGGGGUGGCUUGGGAGGCAGGCUGUUUGGUCGUGGCCUAUGGGAGUGCUCGGUUAAGGAAGGUUGCUAUGGUGAUGCUGAGGCGGUUGGCGGAGAUUGGUGGGUUCCCGGAGAGGCGGAGUCAGGAGUUUUUUACAGCGUACCUGACGCUGCUGGACACACACACACCUGAGCCAGAGACAUAUGGGGGAGAGCUGCUGAAGCUGACGCAGUGUGUGUUUGGAUCUGCGCACACACCUGCUCACACACACACACGGUUUGAGCGUACCCACCUGGCCCAGCUGUUGGAACGUGUGUGUGUUCUGGCAGGGGCGGGCUUAGUUCUGGAAUCAGAGGUCAGCCAAUCGCUGAGCUUUGUCUUUAACUUCCUGUUGUCCGUUCCACCGGGAUAUGAGAGCGCCCCGUCUCUACGGAAACAGAGAGUCACUGAUGUCUGCAGAACCCUCACACACUCCAUCGGGAUGGAGAAACAGUCUGAGUGUGUGCAGGGGUUUCUUUACACUGCCCUGAAGGCUGAGGUUGCCGUGGUGAUGCAAGAGAGGGAGGAUGGAGAAACGGCUGCUAAGCGACCCUGUCUACCCAUCACCCCCCUGGCCAGCAAGACCCCCAAAACUUCCCCGAUGGAGGUGGACAUGCGUGUGCGUAGUGAGGUGUGGGCGGCAGUGACCAGCAGGCUGGAUGACCUUCUGGCCUCUCUGGUGAACUGUGACCUUGACCUGACGACCCCUGAGCCUGACACUGACCCUCAGAUGACCCUGAGAGCUCUGGAGGGACUCGCUCUCAUCCUGCACCUGGCUGGCCUCUGUUACACACACACCAGGUAUCUCACACACACCCAGAAGGUAACACACCCCACAUCAUCUCUCACACAGAUCUUUCCAUCUCUGUCUCUCUCCUCCAGCUCCUCCUCUCUCCUGUGGCUGUCUGCCUCCACUCUGGGCAGGGCUUUGGAAACCUGUCAAUCACUACUGGGCGGGGCUAAGUCUACCACUGACCACGCCCAUAUACAGUCUGCCAUCCAGGUGGCUGUCAGAAUACUGGACUCCAUCAUCUACCUGACAAUGAGUAGCCCGGCUGAGGACAGUGGUCUCCAGAGUAGUGUGUGCACGUUGCUGUCUGUGCCAUGGGUGUGUGAGCUGUCGUCUGUCCCAGCCUAUCAGAAGGCAGGAUUCCCCCCCAGCCUCCCCGACUUGGCUAAGAGACUGUCUCCCUGCUACUCCCCCCAGGUCCAGGCGGAGUGUGUGUUGCUGCUGUCUCUGCUGCGUGGGGAUGUGUGUGUGUCGUGGCGUGUGUCUGUGUGUUCCCAGGCCCUGGAGAGUCACCAUGAGGUGGUCAGGGCCAGCGCUGUCAGGAGCUUUCCUCUACUACUGCACCACGUGGGACACACACACCACAACCUCACACACACCACCUUAAUGAGUGUCCUGGAGGACAGCUCAGAGCAGGUGAGGGCAGAGCUAGCUGGUAUUUCUGGUCAGCUGACCUGCGUCCUGUCGGGGAGCUCCAAAUUAACUGUCAAUCACAAGGAACCCCUCCCACUACCCAUGAUCCUUUGCUCCCGCCUCGGCCUUGCAGCUGAGCAUGCUGGGAAGGGCACUCCCAUUGGAGCAUCCGUCAUCAAGCCCGUCCUACCUCUGCUACGACCGAGCAGCAGCAGUGUUGCCAAAAGAGCGUUCCUAGAUGCUCUGCCGCACCUCUGCCAGCAUGUCAACCUUGGAGGCAGAGACAGUGACUCUCUGGCCAUUCUGAGAGAUCUGAUUGGCCUAAUAGAAGACCCAGACCCGUCAGUCAGAACACUCUUCAGCCAAUCAGUUCGCUUCCUGCUGUCGGAGCCCACCUCCGAACCCGACCAGGAUCCAGUCAAGGAGCUGCUGGUGUCUCGUGUGAAGGAGGCGUUCAGUAAGGCUAAACUCAACAGAGACGACGAGCUACGCAGCACACUCAUACUGACCACUGGAGAGAUUGGCAGGGCUGCUAAAGGUAGCUUGGUGUCGUUCUCUCUCUUGAGGUUACUGCACUGUCUCCUGUCCAAGUCGUCUCCUGUCUCUGUGUCCGCCUACACACAGAUCACUGCCCUGGCCACAGCUAGAGGACUCAAACUACAGACACUGUUCAGCCAGUACAAGAACCCUGUCUGCCAGUUCCUGGUAGAGUCUCUCCACUCGCGUCACGUCAGCGCCCUGCGGAGCACGCCAGAGCAAGGUAGCCAGCUAACCAAUCAGAGAGAAGUAGCUCUGGACAUCCUGUCUCAGGUCGCCCACGCCUUUGACUUCCCUGACCUGCACCGCUUCCUCACGAGGACUCUCCAGGUGCUCCUCCCCUACCUGGCUGCGAAGGCCAGCACCACAGGCUCCGCCCUCAUCAGGACGCUGGCCAAUGAGAUGAAAGCGAACCGGCGUGAGAUCCUGAUCAACAACUUUAAGUACAUCUUCAGCCACCUGGUGUGUUCCUGCACUAAGGAGGAGCUGGAGAGAGCCUUCCACUACCUCCAGAGAGAGACGGAGAUAGAACUGGGCUCUCUGCUGAGGCAGGACUUCCAGGGCCUGCACAACGAGCUGCUGCUACGCCUGGGAGAACACUACCAACAAGUGUUUAAUGGUCUGGCCAUCCUGGCCUCAUUUGCCUCCAAUGACGACCCGUACCAGGGACCCCGUGACAUCACCACCCCGGAACACAUGGCUGAUUACCUCCAGCCCAAGCUGCUGGGCAUCCUGGCCUUCUUCAACAUGCAGCUGCUGAGCUCCAGUGCUGGGGAGAAGGACGGUAAGAAGAUGGCCCUGACCAGCCUGAUGGCCCUGAUGAAGCUGAUGGGCUCCAAACACACCAGCUCAGUCCGAGUCAAGAUGAUGACCACACUACGGACUGGACUACGAUACAGACAGGACUUCCCUCUGCUCUGCUGCCAGACGUGGGACUGUUUUGUGCGUACGGUAGAGCCCGCCCACCUGGGGCCGUUGCUCAGUCAUGUGAUCGUGGCGCUUCUUCCGCUGAUACCACUCCAGCCCAGAGAGACUGCUGCUAUAAUACAUUACCUCAUACUGGACAACAGGGAAGAGGUGCAGGACUAUCUCCAUGAAAUCUACUUCCUGCCAGACCACCCUGAACUCAAAGACAUACACACUGUCCUGCAGGACUACAAGAAGUUGACGUCCAGGACCAGCGACCUGGCUGCAGGCCUGCAGCUCUCCAUGAGGGCUGUCCAACACGAGAACCUGGACGUCAGAGUUCACGCUCUGACCAGCCUCAAGGACAUGAUGCACAGCAACCAGGAGUGGUUACUACGACAGGUGUGUGCGUCGGAGGCGGUAGAGCCUGUCAUCUCCUCAUUAGUCUCAGUGUUACUGCGAGGUUGUCAGGACUCUUCCCCAACGGCCAGGCUGCUGUGUGGGGAGUGUCUGGGGGAGCUGGGGGCCGUGGACCCUGGACGGCUGGACCUCUCUCACACACAGACACACGGCAGCAGCAACACCUUCGUGAGUGGGGUGGAGGAGAGUAACUUUGCCUAUGAACUACUGACGGAGCUGACCAGGACUUUCUUGGCGUAUGCUGAUGAUGUCAGAGCACAGGACUCGGCAGCCUAUGCAAUGCAGGAGCUGCUGUCUAUAUUUGAGUGUCGUGAGGGCCGUAGUGACUCCCCUGGUCGACGGCUGUGGAGGAGAUUCCCUGAACAAGUCCAAGAGAUACUGGAGCCUCACCUCAACAGCAGGUAUAAGAGCAGUCAAAAGGUGGUGAACUGGUCCAAGGUGAAGAAACCUGUCUACCUCAGCAGCCGAGGAACCAAGUUCUCUGAUUGGUCAGCUACCUGGGCCGGAUACCUCAUCAGCAAGGUGAGACAUGAGUUGGCCAGCAAGGUAUUCACCUGUUGCAGUUUCAUCAUCAAACACGACUACAAAGUCACCAUCUACCUGCUGCCCCAUAUACUGCUUUACAUGCUGAUGGGCUGCACUGCUGUGGAACAAGGAGAGGUAACAGAGGAAAUGCUGGCUGUGCUCACAGAGGGUGAUGGGCGUGGUGGGCGUGUCCAGGAGGCCUCAUCUAGCCUUUCACAGCUCAGUACUCAGAACCAGGAAGCAACGUCCAGCCUGUCACAGCUGAGCACCCAGACUGUGUUCAGUAUGCUGGCUCACCUCACCCAGUGGAGCCGACACACACUGUCGGCUAGAAUCAAACACAGCGAAAGUGGUGACUACCAGCGAGUGGUAGCGUUUCUAAAAGGGAUCCCUCAGGACGUGUUAGCCAAGGCCUCUCUACGGUCUAAAGCCUACACCAGAGCCCUGAUGCACUUUGAGGCUUACAUACUGGAGAACAAAGAGAACAUCCAGGAUCAUCUGAGCUUCCUACAGACGCUGUACGCGGCCAUGCACGAACCGGACGGUGUGAGGGGUGCGAACGCUCUCCGGCGGGAAGAGCCGUCCCUACGGGAACAGAUUCUAGAACACGAGAGCAUCGGGUUGCUAAGAGACGCUACAGCCUGCUACGACCGGGCCAUACAGCUGGAGUCCGACCAGAUCGGACACUACCAUGGGGUGAUGAGUUCUAUGCUGGGGCUGGGACAGCUCUCUACUGUCGUCACACAGGUCAAUGGAGUCCUGGCCAACAGGCCCCAGUGGAAGUCUGAUCUGAACACCUACAGGGUGGAAGCUGCCUGGAAGCUCAGCAAGUGGGACCUGCUGGAGGACUACCUGGGCUCUGAUCGUAAGUCCAGCACGUGGGGUGUGAGGCUGGGUCAGAUGCUGCUCGCGGCUAAGCGGCGCGACGCAGAGACAUUCUACGACAAACUGAAGCUGGUCAGGACAGAGCAGGUGGUGCCUCUAGCUGCUGCUAGCUAUGAGACUGGGACCUACCAGAGAGGAUACGAAUACAUCGUCAGGCUCCACAUGCUGAGUGAGUUGGAGCAUGCCUUCACCGACCUCCAGAGACAGAGAGAAGGCCACGCCCCUAGCUCAGCCACGCUGCCCUCCCAUUGGCCAGAUCGGCUGGAGAUGACCCAGAAUUCUUUCCGCGCCAAAGAGCCAAUCCUGGCCCUGCGGCGAGCCCUGCUGAGCAUCGGCUCAGGUGUGUGUGAGGGGCUGGUCGGGGAGUGCUGGUUGCAGAGUGCCCGGGUGGCCAGGAAGGCAGGACAUCACCAGACAGCCUUCAACGCUCUUCUGAACGGACAGAACACACACACUGCCGAAUUACUGACAGAGAAGGCCAAGUGGCUAUGGUCCAAGGGAGAUGUCCACCAGGCGUUGAUAGUUCUCCAGAAGGGAGUGACUCAGUGUUUCCCUGUCGACCAGCCUCUCUCAGACCAGAGGAGUCUACAGACCAAAGGUAAAGCCAUGCUUCUGGUGGGACGCUUCAUGGAGGAGACAGCCAACUUUGAGUCCAACGCCAUCAUGAAGGCCUACAGGGACGUGACCACCCUGCUACCAGAGUGGGAGGACGGUAACUUCUACCUGGCUAAAUACUAUGACAAGUUGAUGCCCAUGGUGACAGACAACAAGCUGGAGAAACAGGGAAACCUCAUACGAUACAUCGUCACCUACUUUGGAAAAGCUCUGCAGUUUGGGAACCAGUACAUCUAUCAGGCCAUGCCUCGGAUGCUGUCUCUCUGGCUGGACUUCGGGGCCAAAGUCUACGAGUCUGAGAAAGCGGGUAGAGUGGAGCGGCAGUUGCGCGUGGAGCUUGGGAAGAUCAAUCAGGUGGUCAGCGACCACUGCACCAGCCUGGCUCCGUACCAGUUCCUCACAGCUUUCUCCCAGCUCAUCUCCAGGGUGUGCCACAGCAGUGAGGACGUCUUCAACGUCCUCAUGGACAUCGCUGCCAAGGUGCUGCUGGCCUACCCUCAGCAGGCCAUGUGGUUGAUGACCGCAGUGUCCAAGUCGUCCUACCCUACCCGUAUGAACCGCUGUAAGGAGAUCCUGAGGAAGGCUGUCAGUCUGAAGGAGAGUCUGGGGAAGUUCAUAGGAGAUGCCAACAGACUGACUGACAAACUACUGGAGCUCUGCAACAAGCCGGUGGAUGGUAGCAGCAGUACUCUCAGUAUGGGGGUCCAUUUCUCUCUAUCUCUGUAUUCCAGGUGGAUGGUAGCAGCAGUACUCUCAGUAUGGGGGUCCAUUUCUCUCUCUCUCUGUAUUCCAGGUGGAUGGUAGCAGCAGUACUCUCAGUAUGCGGUCCAUUUCUCUCUCUCUCUGUAUUCCAGGUGGAUGGUAGCAGCAGUACUCUCAGUAUGGGGUCCAUUUCUCUCUCUCUCUGUAUUCCAGGUGGAUGGUAGCAGCAGUACUCUCAGUAUGGGGUCCAUUUCUCUCUCUCUCUCUCUCUGUAUUCCAGGUGGAUGGUAGCAGCAGUACUCUCAGUAUGGGGUCCAUUUCUCUCUCUCUCUGUAUUCCAGGUGGAUGGUAGCAGCAGUACUCUCAGUAUGGCGUCCAUUUCUCUCUCUCUCUCUCUCUGUAUUCCAGGUGGAUGGUAGCAGCAGUACUCUCAGUAUGGGGUCCAUUUCUCUCUCUCUCUCUGUAUUCCAGGUGGAUGGUAGCAGCAGUACUCUCAGUAUGGGGGUCCAUUUCUCUCUCUGUAUUCCAGGUGGAUGGUAGCAGCAGUACUCUCAGUAUGGGGUCCAUUUCUCUCUCUCUCUGUAUUCCAGGUGGAUGGUAGCAGCAGUACUCUCAGUAUGGGGUCCAUUUCUCUCUCUCUCUCUCUGUGUAUUCCAGGUGGAUGGUAGCAGCAGUAUUCUCAGUAUGGGGUCCAUUUCUCUCUCUGUAUUCCAGGUGGAUGGUAGCAGCAGUACUCUCAGUAUGGGGUCCAUUUCUCUCUCUCUCUCUCUCUCUCUGUAUUCCAGGUGGAUGGUAGCAGCAGUACUCUCAGUAUGGGGUCCAUUUCUCUCUCUCUGUAUUCCAGGUGGAUGGUAGCAGCAGUACUCUCAGUAUGGGGUCCAUUUCUCUCUCUCUCUCUCUCUGUAUUCCAGGUGGAUGGUAGCAGCAGUACUCUCAGUAUGGGGGUCCAUUUCUCUCUCUGUAUUCCAGGUGGAUGGUAGCAGCAGUACUCUCAGUAUGGGGUCCAUUUCUCUCUCUCUCUCUCUCUCUCUCUGUAUUCCAGGUGGAUGGUAGCAGCAGUACUCUCAGUAUGGGGUCCAUUUCUCUCUCUCUCUAUCUCUGUAUUCCAGGUGGAUGGUAGCAGCAGUACUCUCAGUAUGGUGGUCCAUUUCUCUCUCUCUCUGUGUAUUCCAGGUGGAUGGUAGCAGCAGUACUCUCAGUAUGGGGUCCAUUUCUCUCUCUCUCUGUAUUCCAGGUGGAUGGUAGCAGCAGUACUCUCAGUAUGGGGUCCAUUUCUCUCUCUCUCUCUCUCUCUCUGUCUCGCUGUCUCUCUGUCUCUCUGUCUCUCUGUCUCUGUGUAUUCCAGGUGGAUGGUAGCAGCAGUACUCUCAGUAUGGGGUCCAUUUCUCUCUCUCUCUCUGUAUUCCAGGUGGAUGGUAGCAGCAGUACUCUCAGUAUGGGGUCCAUUUCUCUCUCUCUCUCUGUAUUCCAGGUGGAUGGUAGCAGCAGUACUCUCAGUAUGGGGUCCAUUUCUCUCUCUCUCUCUGUAUUCCAGGUGGAUGGUAGCAGCAGUACUCUCAGUAUGGGGUCCAUUUCUCUCUCUGUAUUCCAGGUGGAUGGUAGCAGCAGUACUCUCAGUAUGGGGUCCAUUUCUCUCUCUCUCUCUGUAUUCCAGGUGGAUGGUAGCAGCAGUACUCUCAGUAUGGGGGUCCAUUUCUCUCUCUCUCUGUAUUCCAGGUGGAUGGUAGCAGCAGUACUCUCAGUAUGGGGUCCAUUUCUCUCUCUCUCUGUAUUCCAGGUGGAUGGUAGCAGCAGUACUCUCAGUAUGGGGUCCAUUUCUCUCUCUGUAUUCCAGGUGGAUGGUAGCAGCAGUACUCUCAGUAUGGGGGUCCAUUUCUCUCUCUCUGUAUUCCAGGUGGAUGGUAGCAGCAGUACUCUCAGUAUGGGGGUCCAUUUCUCUCUCUCUGUAUUCCAGGUGGAUGGUAGCAGCAGUACUCUCAGUAUGGGGUCCAUUUCUCUCUCUGUAUUCCAGGUGGAUGGUAGCAGCAGUACUCUCAGUAUGGGGGUCCAUUUCUCUCUCUGUAUUCCAGGUGGAUGGUAGCAGCAGUACUCUCAGUAUGGGGUCCAUUUCUCUCUCUGUAUUCCAGGUGGAUGGUAGCAGCAGUACUCUCAGUAUGGGGUCCAUUUCCUCUCUCUCUCUCUCUGUAUUCCAGGUGGAUGGUAGCAGCAGUACUCUCAGUAUGGGGUCCAUUUCUCUCUCUCUCUCUCUGUAUUCCAGGUGGAUGGUAGCAGCGGUAUUCUCAGUAUGGGGUCCAUUUCUCUCUCUCUCUCUCUCUCUCUCUGUAUUCCAGGUGGAUGGUAGCAGCAGUACUCUCAGUAUGGGGUCCAUUUCUCUCUAUCUCUGUAUUCCAGGUGGAUGGUAGCAGCAGUAUUCUCAGUAUGGGGUCCAUUUCUCUCUCUAUCUCUGUAUUCCAGGUGGAUGGUAGCAGCAGUACUCUCAGUAUGGGGUCCAUUUCUCUCUCUGUAUUCCAGGUGGAUGGUAGCAGCAGUACUCUCAGUAUGGGGUCCAUUUCUCUCUCUCUAUCUCUGUAUUCCAGGUGGAUGGUAGCAGCAGUACUCUCAGUAUGGGGUCCAUUUCUCUCUCUCUAUCUCUGUAUUCCAGGUGGAUGGUAGCAGCAGUACUCUCAGUAUGGGGUCCAUUUCUCUCUCUAUCUCUGUAUUCCAGGUGGAUGGUAGCAGCAGUACUCUCAGUAUGGGGUCCAUUUCUCUCUCUCUCUCUGUAUUCCAGGUGGAUGGUAGCAGCAGUACUCUCAGUAUGGGGUCCAUUUCUCUCUCUAUCUCUGUAUUCCAGGUGGAUGGUAGCAGCAGUAUUCUCAGUAUGGGGUCCAUUUCUCUCUCUCUCUGUAUUCCAGGUGGAUGGUAGCAGCAGUACUCUCAGUAUGG
This is a non-coding RNA of Salmo salar (Atlantic salmon), 9833 nucleotides long. NCBI's taxonomy places the organism in Eukaryota, Metazoa, Chordata, Actinopteri, Salmoniformes, Salmonidae. The record is from RefSeq and is a predicted model, not a curated record.